GACGGAGGGGGCUAGCGUUGUUCGGAAUGACUGGGCGUAAAGGGCGCGUAGGCGGCUAUUUAAGUGAGGCGUGAAAGCCCUGGGCUUAACCCAGGAGGUGCGUUUCAUACUGGAUGGCUUGAGUACGAGAGAGGAAAGCGGAAUUCCUAGUGUAGAGGUGAAAUUCGUAGAUAUUAGGAAGAACACCAGAGGCGAAGGCGGCUCUCUGGCUCGUAACUGACGCUGAGGCGCGAAAGCGUGGGGAGCAAACAGG
This 253-nucleotide ribosomal RNA is filed under the name uncultured bacterium. Its description in RNAcentral is "partial 16S ribosomal RNA". It matches the Rfam family "Bacterial small subunit ribosomal RNA", at positions 524 to 776 of the family's 1533-position model. The record is from RNAcentral.